This 247-nucleotide long non-coding RNA is filed under the name Capsicum annuum. RNAcentral's name for it is "long non-coding RNA (CANN_LNC019227)". The record is from RNAcentral. Lineage: Eukaryota; Viridiplantae; Streptophyta; Magnoliopsida; Solanales; Solanaceae.
UUCAUCUUCAUCCAUUUGCCGCCAUUCUGACCAUACUGAUACUAAGCACCACCCUGCUCAUAGAACCUGCUUCUCUUACCUUGCCUUUCCCUAAACUCUACCUAUUUUCUUUUCUUAUCCUCCAUUUGUUGUAUGUGGACAACCAACCUUAAAAUAUUCAAAUACUUAAUUAUCAAAGUAGUCUUAAUGUCAAAAAUUAAAUCCCUAGAUAUCCCAAAAGUGAACUUUCUCAUCCUCGACCUCAUAC